RNAcentral lists this transfer RNA (75 nucleotides) under Candidatus Peregrinibacteria bacterium. Its description in RNAcentral is "tRNA-Arg". It matches the Rfam family "tRNA". From Rfam's summary of the family: Transfer RNA (tRNA) molecules are approximately 80 nucleotides in length. Their secondary structure includes four short double-helical elements and three loops (D, anti-codon, and T loops). Further hydrogen bonds mediate the characteristic L-shaped molecular structure. tRNAs have two regions of fundamental functional importance: the anti-codon, which is responsible for specific mRNA codon recognition, and the 3' end, to which the tRNAs corresponding amino acid is attached (by aminoacyl-tRNA synthetases). tRNAs cope with the degeneracy of the genetic code in two manners: having more than one tRNA (with a specific anti-codon) for a particular amino acid; and 'wobble' base-pairing, i.e. permitting non-standard base-pairing at the 3rd anti-codon position. Lineage: Bacteria; Candidatus Peregrinibacteriota. The record is from RNAcentral.
GCUCCUGUAGUUCAACGGAUAGAACAGAUCCGUCCUAAGGAUAAAAUGAAGGUUCAAUUCCUUCCGGGGGCACCA